Molecule: long non-coding RNA, 1090 nt
Filed under: Sus scrofa (pig)
Lineage: Eukaryota; Metazoa; Chordata; Mammalia; Artiodactyla; Suidae
Description: lncRNA (ENSSSCG00045024677.1)
Source: RNAcentral
CUGGGAGCCUGGGCAGGGAGCUAAGUUUGGCCCGAGAACCACAGAGGCAGGCACAUAAUGCGAAGCGUUGAGGUUUAUUUGAGCCUCUGCGCCCUUUGCCUGUUUAAGGAAGCGCUAUCAGGUAACAGUGAGUUAGAACAGGCAAGUCCCUGCUCAAGGGCUCUUAGAGUCCACCUGCUCAGACCGUUUGCCGCCGCUGAAGCCUCUCCAGUGGUGGUCACUCUUUAUCACAGGAAGGGAUGCUUGCGAUUGCACUGAGUCCAGCCAGAAACUCCGCACACCCAAGAGGUCCCCGUGGCCACCACAGAAGGCAAUUCCUCUCAGGUUCCUCUUUACACCGGGGCUGCUCUUCUGCCUGUUGAACCCGAGCAGGACCCUGCGGCCCUUCCCCUCCCCCCACAUCCUCUGCCUGCCUUUUCUCCAUAGAAAAACUGUAGUCAAAGAAGUUGAAUCAGAAAAGUGAGCAAAUGCAGAUGCAAAGGAAAAGAGUCAAAUAAGAUCAAAUAAUAAUAGUUGUGUCAUUAAGCAAAGUCAAAGGACUUCAGUUCCUCCUGAAGGGCUAUAAUAAUAUUCUGGGCCAGGUCCUGUGAGCUGUCUUCUAGAUACUGAAGCCCCCACCGGGUGGAAGACGUUACGUACACGAUGACCAGCCGCCACAAUUCCAAGAACUGGCCUCAAAGAGAUGGGAACAAACCGACCCUGGAACUGAAGAUGAACUGUGCUUAAAGUAACCAAGAUGCCGCUGAUCAGACCACCACGCGGCCAAUUUCAAGAGGACGGUCCGCGCUGACUGCACUGUCUCUGCAUGCAGUCCCCUCCCUCUCCCUCUAAAAGCUCUUUCCCCACCCGCGAUUGACAGUGGGGGGAGUGGGCCUUUGGACAGGAACCUGGCCCCCCCGCCACGUCUGGGGGCUGGCAUCCAAAAUAAAGCAAACUUUCAUUGCCACCAAACUUGCCUAUUGGCUUGAGCAUGGCGAGUAGCCGGACCCCACCCUAUCACAGGAGGCAUCUGUCAGCAGGUAAGGACUGGAUUCACCCUUUUAUGCAACCAAAGGAGUUUGGGGGAGAAUGAGAACCCAAGAGAGGUGAG